Molecule: long non-coding RNA, 1039 nt
Filed under: Danio rerio (zebrafish)
Lineage: Eukaryota; Metazoa; Chordata; Actinopteri; Cypriniformes; Danionidae
Description: lncRNA si:dkey-148n20.1 (ENSDARG00000092277.4)
Source: RNAcentral
AUGGCCGACUUGUUGCUCCGCCUCACGCUGACCUGUGCUCGCCUUAUGGCUGAACUGUUGCUCCGAGUCCGCCUGACGAGCCACCUGUUUCUCCGGAUCUGUUUCUCCGCCUAACGGCGACUUGUUUCUCCGGACCUGUUUCUCCGGACCUGUUUCUCCGCCUAACGGCGACCUGUUUCUCCGGACCUGUUUCUCCGCCUAACGCCCGAGCUGUUGCUCCGCCUAACGCCUGACCUGUGCUCGCCUCACGCCCGACAUGUUGCUCCGCCUCACGCCCAGCCUGUUGAUCGGUGGACGGGUAAGCGCGCAUGGCAUCGGAAGGAGCUCGAAAAGUAUAAGGUGAUGACAGUAAGUAACGUUACUGUGAUUUGUGAUCUUUCUGGGGUGUUAACUGUAAAGCAAUGGAUAAUUGCGUGAAAAUCAAACUAAAAGAAUGCAAUCUUGAGGAGUUAAUCCCCACAUUUGAAGCACAGGAGCGAACCUUUCCUCGUUUUUAGGUCAAUUUGAAUACAAUUCAGAGGGGUGGCAUGGGGGCACAGUGGGUAGUGCUGUCGCCUCACAGCAAGAUGGUCGCUGGUUUGAGCCUUGGAUGGGUUUCCCCUCCACAGUCCAAUGACAUGCGGUGUAGCUGAAUUGGAUUGGGACCAAUAUUGCUGAGUAUCUUCAUCCAUUGAAUUCAAGAAUCUAUUGAGUUUCCUCAUGUUCUCAUCCUUGGAGACCACCACUUCUUUCAAGCCUUUGCUCACGUGCUAUGCUAUUUAUUAUUGCAAAGUACAUUACUUGCCAAAGUGGACGUUUGCUAUAAAGCAUUCUACAUCUUUGGUGUGAACUACCCCAAGCAGUGUUCCCUGGUGUGGCAGACUGUGGUUUAUGGACAUCCUGGGGAGGAGACACUAGCAGUAAGGGUUCUGCUAGCAUUAAUUUUUGCUGACAAACAGUAAUCAUUAAUACUGUGACCUCACUGCUUCCUUGGAUUCUGUGUUCUUUAACUUGUACUUUGGAUUGUGGGGGAAAAGGAGCACCCAGAGAAAACCCACAC